UCUAACUCCAUUAAGUUGGGCCUCUAACCCAAUCCCAUUCUUUACCCGGGCACUCCACCACUUACCCAAAGUCAGUCUACUGACUACUGCAGUGCUGCAGUCUACUUCCUUUGGGUUGGGGGAGUUUCUUCAGUAUCGUCCCUUCCAUCAUUCGCCAGAAAUAUGUUAUAGGACCCCAACACUUCCCCAAAGCACUAUAGUCCCAUCUGUGGUGGCCAGAAAUACGUCACAGGAAAAGGGCCCCGAUCCAGACCCAAAGAGAGGGUUCUUGGGUCUCGCGCAAGAAAUAACUCAGGGCAAGUCCGCGGUGCAAAAUAAAAGCAAGUUUAUUAAGAAAGUAAAGUGGUGAAAGAACAGCUACUCCACAGACAGAGAAGGGCGUUCCUGAAACUAAGAGAAGGAACGUAUCCACCCUAGGUACAAUGCUUGUACACAUGGGGAGAGGUGUUCUGUUACAAGGGUUUGUGAUAAUUAACUUUAAUUAUUACAUUUUGCAAGAAUCCCUAUUACUACCUUUAAAGCAAAAUUAGGAACGCCUUUGUUCUCCAGAUAUCCAGCUAUCUGGACACUCGGGUCUCUUCAGUAAACAUUAAUUUGUUCCCUUAACCGUAAGUAUCUGAAAGCUAGGAAUAUCCUUCUGAGAAUGCAGGCCCGUAAGUCCCGGCCUCAUUUUUCUAGCCCUCACUCAAAAUGGGGUCGCUUCAGGUUCCAACGUCUCUGACAGUCAUACUACAUAUGACUCAGCCACGUCAAUGGAAAAAGUAGACUGGAUAGUGACGUACCCGCAGAAAACGAAUGCAACAAUCUGUCAUACAGAUCUGACGGCAGUCAGAUUCUGCAGUGAAGUAGAGGCGGUAAACUUGAAUGCAACGAUCUUCAUACCGCAUCCCACAAAGCCACGUAAAUCCAAAAGCAGUCCGACUCUCGAUAGUGAAACACAAAGCCACGUAAAUCCAAAAGCAGUCCGACUCUGGAUAGUGAAACACAUGCGGGAAACUUGAAUGGAAAGAUGUUUAUACUGCCUCGGAUGGAGACACGUAAAUGAAAAAACAGUCCCGCUUGGGAUAGUAAAGUAGGGGCGCUAAACUUAAAUAUAACGAUCCGAAUAUCGCAUCUGAGUGUGCCAAGUAAUAGCAGAGACCAGUCAGAAUACGGAUACUGAUGUGGGUGCAGUAACAUUUAAUCCAAUGACCGUCACACCGCAUGUGACUAAACCAAGUGAAACCUAAAGCAGCCACACUCUCCAAAGUACGCGCUGCUGACUUAUACACAAGUGUGCUAACAGGCCCCGAAGAUCCGAUGCAAACGCGUGGAGGUAACGAAAGAAGCUCCCAUUCCACCUUGUCAGCAGACAGCGUUUGAAGAUCUCCUUUGCUGAUGUAACGCGAAAUAACAGUAACUGAUAGAGCAAGUUCCGCACUUAACCUGAGCCUAAACGACCAAGGCGCUGCCGGCAUUAGCGUUCGUCCACGGCCCUCCUCCUCUUAGAGCCAAGUGUAUUAAUAGGUCCCGACAAUCUGAGUGGAGAUGACAAGAGGCUCCCAUUCUAUGAGUGGAGAUAACAAGCUGAUGACGAAACCCGGGUGCUCCCCUCAUUGGCACCCAGCAGGCAGCACCGGCCCGCUCCCGGAGCCCUCCAUCCUGCGCUUUCCCAAACCCCCAUCAAAACACCAACCCAGUCUCCUCCCUCUCAAGCCAUUUUCCAACCUGCCUGGGAGCCACUCUGAUCUCCCAGAACACCUCAUUUUGUGAAUUAU
RNAcentral lists this long non-coding RNA (1757 nucleotides) under Homo sapiens (human). RNAcentral describes it as "HSALNT0240986". The record is from RNAcentral. Lineage: Eukaryota; Metazoa; Chordata; Mammalia; Primates; Hominidae.